AGCAGCCGCGGUAAUUCCAGCUCCAAUAGCGUAUAUUAAAGUUGUUGCAGUUAAAAAGCUCGUAGUUGAAUUUCGGGAUCAAUACGUCGGUCGUGCCUCGGUACGUACUAACGUUAUUGAUUUCUCCCUUCUAACAAAUCGUGAUGUCAUUAAUUUGGUGUUACGAGGAGUUAGGACUGUUACCUUGAAAAAAUUAGAGUGUUUAAAGCAGGCAAUCGCUCGAAUACAUUAGCAUGGAAUAAUGAAAUAGGACGUUCGAACCUAUUUUGUUGGUUUCUAGGAUCAACGUAAUGAUUAAUAGGGAUAGUUGGGGGCAUUAGUAUUCAAUUGUCAGAGGUGAAAUUCUUGGAUUUAUUGAAGACUAACUACUGCGAAAGCAUUUGCCAAGGAUGUUUUCAUUAAUCAAGAACGAAAGUUAGGGGAUCGAAGACGAUCAGAUACCGUCGUAGUCUUAACCAUAAACUAUGCCGACUAGGGAUCGGAUGAUGUUAAUUUUUUAAUGACUCAUUCGGCGCCUUACG
Molecule: ribosomal RNA, 521 nt
Filed under: uncultured Glomeraceae
Lineage: Eukaryota; Fungi; Glomeromycota; Glomeromycetes; Glomerales; Glomeraceae
Description: SSU rRNA
Rfam family: Eukaryotic small subunit ribosomal RNA
Source: RNAcentral